This 89-nucleotide transfer RNA is filed under the name Synechococcus sp. CC9902. Its description in RNAcentral is "tRNA-Ser". The record is from RNAcentral. Lineage: Bacteria; Bacillati; Cyanobacteriota; Cyanophyceae; Synechococcales; Synechococcaceae.
AUCCCGACCCGCUGAGAGGCCAGAAUUGGAGCAUCCGACUCGGUUUUGUGCGCGACAUCUUGAUCUCCACAUCGGUGUGUGUGGCUUGC